This 492-nucleotide ribosomal RNA is filed under the name uncultured bacterium. RNAcentral's name for it is "partial 16S ribosomal RNA". It matches the Rfam family "Bacterial small subunit ribosomal RNA", at positions 29 to 507 of the family's 1533-position model. The record is from RNAcentral.
AGUGAACGCUGGCGGUAGGCCUAACACAUGCAAGUCGAACGGCAGCACAGUAAGAGCUUGCUCUUACGGGUGGCGAGUGGCGGACGGGUGAGGAAUACAUCGGAAUCUACUUUUUCGUGGGGGAUAACGUAGGGAAACUUACGCUAAUACCGCAUACGACCUACGGGUGAAAGCAGGGGAUCUUCGGACCUUGCGCGAUUGAAUGAGCCGGUGUCGGAUUAGCUAGUUGGCGGGGUAAAGGCCCACCAAGGCGACGAUCCGUAGCUGGUCUGAGAGGAUGAUCAGCCACACUGGAACUGAGACACGGUCCAGACUCCUACGGGAGGCAGCAGUGGGGAAUAUUGGACAAUGGGCGCAAGCCUGAUCCAGCCAUACCGCGUGGGUGAAGAAGGCCUUCGGGUUGUAAAGCCCUUUUGUUGGGAAAGAAAAGCAGCAGGGUAAUACCCCGCGGUUCUGACGGUACCCAAAGAAUAAGCACCGGCUAACUUCGUG